Long non-coding RNA from Beta vulgaris subsp. vulgaris (sugar beet), 655 nucleotides. RefSeq lists it as uncharacterized. The transcript is spliced from 2 exons. Lineage: Eukaryota; Viridiplantae; Streptophyta; Magnoliopsida; Caryophyllales; Amaranthaceae. The record is from RefSeq and is a predicted model, not a curated record.
AGUAUUGUGUCAGACCGUCUGACACAAUACAUUUGGUCGGACGACCACUUCUCUCUCUGUUCAUCCCUUCCACCUUUCCUACCUCUCUCUAACUAUUCUGAUUUCUCAUCAUCAACCUUCAUUUUCUCUCUCCUUUCCUUCUUCCAUUCCAGCAAAAACUCUUGUUCAACUUUCUUUACAUAAUUCCACUUAUUGGUUUACACUUUUGCUCUGCCAUAAACAUCAUAACCCAACUCAGUACCUAAAAGAAAUGGAACACCAUAACACCGUAAACACCAUAACACCAUAAAUUGAUGCAAAUUUCUCAGUUGCUCAACUGUCAGAUUUUGGGAACCAUGUAGUCCAAGUGUUCGCGUCCAACACAACUACUCGCGAAAAUGGACAUCUAGAUCUGUAGCCUCUAACAAUGGCUUUCAAGUAUCUACCAUGGAUGUUGAAGGUCAUUGGUAACCAGAUUGAGAUUGAAGAACAAAGGAAGAGAAAGAGAAGUGAAAGGGGUAGUGUCUCACAAUUUUGUUAAGCUGGCAGAAGAGGAAUGAAGAAGAAGGAGAAAGUGAGAGAAAGCAGAGGUUAGUGUUUUGUUUUCUUUUCAGUUGGACUUUGUUUUCUUUCAGUUGGACUUUGUUUUCUUUCAGUUGGACUUUGUUUUCUUUCA